This 484-nucleotide ribosomal RNA is filed under the name uncultured bacterium. RNAcentral describes it as "partial 16S ribosomal RNA". It matches the Rfam family "Bacterial small subunit ribosomal RNA", at positions 30 to 507 of the family's 1533-position model. The record is from RNAcentral.
AUUGAACGCUGGCGGCAGGCCUAACACAUGCAAGUCGAGCGGAGGAAGGGAGCUUGCUCCUGGAUUCAGCGGCGGACGGGUGAGUAAUGCCUAGGAAUCUGCCUGGUAGUGGGGGAUAACGUCCGGAAACGGGCGCUAAUACCGCAUACGUCCUGAGGGAGAAAGUGGGGGAUCUUCGGACCUCACGCUAUCAGAUGAGCCUAGGUCGGAUUAGCUAGUUGGUGGGGUAAAGGCCUACCAAGGCGACGAUCCGUAACUGGUCUGAGAGGAUGAUCAGUAACACUGGCACUGAGACACGGUCCAGACUCCUACGGGAGGCAGCAGUGGGGAAUAUUGGACAAUGGGCGAAAGCCUGAUCCAGCCAUGCCGCGUGUGUGAAGAAGGUCUUCGGAUUGUAAAGCACUUUCAGUUGGGAGGAAGGGCAGUAAGUUAAUACCUUGCUGUUUUGACGUUACCAACAGAAUAAGCACCGGCUAACUUCGUG